This 253-nucleotide ribosomal RNA is filed under the name uncultured bacterium. Its description in RNAcentral is "partial 16S ribosomal RNA". It matches the Rfam family "Bacterial small subunit ribosomal RNA", at positions 524 to 776 of the family's 1533-position model. The record is from RNAcentral.
UACGUAGGGCGCAAGCGUUGUCCGGAAUUAUUGGGCGUAAAGAGCUCGUAGGCGGCUUGUCACGUCGGGUGUGAAAGCCCGGGGCUUAACCCCGGGUCUGCAUUCGAUACGGGCUAGCUAGAGUGUGGUAGGGGAGAUCGGAAUUCCUGGUGUAGCGGUGAAAUGCGCAGAUAUCAGGAGGAACACCGGUGGCGAAGGCGGGUCUCUGGGCCGAAAUUGACGCUGAGGAGCGAAAGCGUGGGGAGCAAACAGG